UUGAACGCUGGCGGCAUGCCUUACACAUGCCAGUCGAACGGUAACGCGGGGCAACCUGGCGACGAGUGGCGAACGGGUGAGUAAUGCAUCGGAACGUGCCCAGAAGUGGGGGAUAGCCCGGCGAAAGCCGGAUUAAUACCGCAUGAGACCUGAGGGUGAAAGCGGGGGAUCGCAGGACCUCGCGCUUUUGGAGCGGCCGAUGUCAGAUUAGCUAGUUGGUGGGGUAAAGGCCUACCAAGGCGACGAUCUGUAGCUGGUCUGAGAGGACGACCAGCCACACUGGGACUGAGACACGGCCCAGACUCCUACGGGAGGCAGCAGUGGGGAAUUUUGGACAAUGGGCGCAAGCCUGAUCCAGCCAUGCCGCGUGCGGGAAGAAGGCCUUCGGGUUGUAAACCGCUUUUGUCAGGGAAGAAACGCUCUGGGCUAAUACCCUGGGGUAAUGACGGUACCUGAAGAAUAAGCACCGGCUAACUACGUG
RNAcentral lists this ribosomal RNA (481 nucleotides) under uncultured bacterium. RNAcentral describes it as "partial 16S ribosomal RNA". It matches the Rfam family "Bacterial small subunit ribosomal RNA", at positions 29 to 507 of the family's 1533-position model. The record is from RNAcentral.